AUGGAGCGCUCUGGGCCCAGCGAUGUGACAGGCUCAGACGCAUCGGGACCGGACCCGCAGCUUGCGGUCACCAUGGGCUUCACGGGGUUCGGUAAAAAAGCUCGCACAUUUGACUUGGAAGCAAUGUUUGAACAAACUCGAAGAACAGCUGUGGAAAGAAGUCGCAAAACACUGGUGAGACAGCCAGCAAGACAGCGAGGCUGCAGCAGCAUGGGGACAGAGUGCAGAAAGAGGUCGCAGAAGCCUUGGAAGAACGUCAUUCAGUCAUACAAGGACACCCUGAUGCUUGCGCUGUGGUCCUUUCCAAGUCCACGGGGCGUUGUUCCUUUGUGUCAACACCAGAUAAGACUCAUGGGCAUUGCUGUCAGUGUUGUGUGUGUUAUAAUACCAGGGACCCUCACAUGGCUGUGUUAGAUUCUAACCAAUAGAAAAUAAUAAGUCAAAGCAAAGACCGUUACUGAUUCCUUCCAUUGUUUCUUCAGAGACUUUGGUUUAGCGCUCUGAACUUUCUGAUUAUCAGAUCUUAUGUGUUUGCUAAUAUAUAAAAUAACAAAUUAGGCAUAAUGCCCUAUAAUUUUCUCAGUUUGAUUAAUUGCCUGAAAUUUGAUCUAUCAGUCAGGGUUUGAUUAGAAUAGAGAAAUCACAUGUAAUUUGAACAAGGAAAGAUUAAUACGAAGAAUUGCCAGCUAUAACGGUUUUGGAGCAAUGAGGAUUGGCUAGUAAAAAGUAAAGAGAACUCUAAGGAAUAUAAGAAUAACAGAUAAAAGGAGCGUCAACCCCUGGGGUUGAGAUACAACAUCCAGGGCCUCUGGGAUUAAGAUCCAGACCCUGUUUGAGGGGGCAUGGCUGUGGCUCACUGAAUGAAGAGAAGUUGCUGUGGUAGAAAUCUGUCUCAUCAGAAUCACUCUGCUAUAAUACUGCCUUGUGGAGGUACUGGUGGAAGAUACUCGGUGCUGCUGACUGCUGUGCACUUCAGGAGCUUGACAAUGGAGCAAACUGCACGGGUUCUGGAUCUGGACACUGGAGAAGCUGUGUUGCAGUACAGAACCCUGCCAAGAGGAGCACACAAGACUCUUGGAAAGAAGAGGAAAAUCUCCUCUUACAAUGUCGAUCUAACAUCAUGCCAACUAGCAAAGGAAAAAUGUUUAGAGGGUCCAAGUUCAUUUCUGCAGAGCAGACAUGAAAGGUUGAAUUCGGAGCUGAGAGACAAUAAGUGGACAACUGGCACAUUUGGUCAAACUUGUAAUUUUAUAUCUUAGAUGGACAAAUUAAACACAAGUCCAUAGGUGUUUUCCUUACAAGCUUACAUUUAAAUUUGGGAUCCUGGUCAGAAUUUUGCUAAGGACUUCAUUCUUUCCCAGUGUUUCAGGAAGGAUACCGUGGGGCCAGAGCCACUUUUCUUUAUUGUAAGGUCCUGGGCUGUGGCCCCUUUUGCUUUUCUGGGCUUCUUUCUCAUGGGCGUCUGUUUUGGGAGCUUCAUUUCCUCAUCUGCUUUGACACUUUAAUCUUGGACAUUGUAGUGAAAUGCUUCACAUUGUCACACAUUCUAAUCUCAGAGACCACUCCAAAUCUUUUUGAAUUUUCUUGGCCAUUGGAAUUAGUACUCUGGAAUCAGUACAUUAAGAAUGGUUUUUUAAAAACUAUGAGCUAGAAUUUCCACAUUUUAGAAGAAAUGGUCAGUAUAAAUUUGGAGAAGCAGUUUCUAGCUAGUAGUAGCUGUGCAGAAAAACAGUUUUAUUGAUAAGUAUCUGAUUUGGAUUUAGGAACCAGCUAGGAUGAAAAAUUCAAUUGAGGUCUGGCCAGAUAGACAUAAAUUUUAUUUUUCCUUUAUAUUCUGUGUCCAAAAGACAAAUUGUCAUGAGUUAUUUUUUUUUUUUUUCUGAAGUAUCCGUUUGUUUCUCAGCUUUGGAAUUAGAGGUGUAGAAAAUAAACGGGACUCAACAGCCUAAGAUUUUGUUUAAAAAGAUGUUCUUAUUUAUUUAUAUUAAAAAAUUUCUAAACUUUUUUUUUGCAAGAAACUGUAUGUCAGCAUUUUCAUUUUUGAUAGAUAAAUUUUAUAUUUGGGAUUUUGAUUAUUAAGUUGUUUCUCCACCAGAAUUCCUUAUGGAUUUUUGUAAUAAUCUGUAUUUAGUGUGUUUAAUUAUUUGCUUUCCAUUUAUAUUUAUUUUGGGAUUUCUUUUUUAAGAGAAUGGCACCCGUGACAGCAUACUGUUAAUAUUACCCUUGUAUCAUACUUUACCGUGCCAUCUCUGAAGAAUAUUACAGACCAUUUUGGAGCAUGGUGAAUAACAAAUUUUUACCUUAGGAGUUCACUUGAAUAGUCAUUUUUAUAUUUGUGACUGCAAGUCACUUUUAGGGGCUGUAACUUCCUUAGUACUGGUAGCAUUAUUAUCCAAUGGACUUUUAUAGCUUUCAUUAGGUUUUCUUAUGUUUUUGUUCUUUAAAGAACAUUUUACUUAACUUAGUAUUUCAUUUUUCAUCUAUAUUAUGAGGCAGUAAGAGUCUUCUGUUUUUCCAAAGUUGAGACUGCUUUAUAUUUAUUUCAUAUUGUCUACGGCUGUAGUGUUCAGUACAUUAGCCACUAGCCACAUGUGGUUAUUUAAAUAAGAUAAAAUAAAAAUUGGCCGGUCGUGGUGGCUCACGCCUGUAAUCCCAGCACUUUGGGAGGCCGAGGUGGGCAGAUCAUGAGGUCAGGAGAUCGAGACCAUCCUUACUAAGACGGUGAAACCCCAUCUCUCUUAAAAAUACAAAAAAUUAGCCGGGCGUGGUGGCGGGCGCCUGCAGUCCUAGCUACUCAGGAGGCUGAGGCAGGAGAAUGACGUGAACCUGGGAGGCAGAGUUUGCAGUGAGCCGAGAUGGCGCCACUGCACUCCAGCCUGGGGGACAGAGCGAGACUCCAUCUCAAAAAAAAAAAAAAUUAUUAAGUUCUUUAGUUGCACUAGCCAUAUUUCAAAUACUUGAUGGAUACAUGUGGCUAGUGGCUAACAUAAUGGAUAGCACAGAUAUAAAACAUUUCCUCGUCAUACAAAGUUCUAUUGGAUAGUGCUGGUCUGUAGCUUAUAGGAUGGUAUCUUAGUCUGCUUCAGCUGCUAAAACAGAAUACCAUAAAUUAGGUAGCUUAAACAGUAGGUAUUUUGACCAGGCGUGGUGGCUUAUGCCUGUAUUCCUAACACUUUGGGAGGCCGAGGCAGGUGGAUAACUUGAGCUCAGGAGUUUGAGACUAGCCUGAGCAGCAUGGCAAAACCUUGUCUCUACAGAAAUUAGCUGGGCAUGGUGGUGCACGCCUGUAGUCUGAGCUACUUGGGAGGCUGAGGUGGGAGAAUUGCUUGAACCUGGGAGGCGGAGGUUGCAGUGAGCCAUGAUCGCACCACUGUACUCCAGCCUGGAUGACAGAAUGAGACUCUGUCUCAAAAAACAAAAAACGAGAUAUUUCUCACAGUUCUGGAGACUGGAAGUGCAAGAUCAAAGUGUUGGCAAAUUACGUUUCUUAAAGAGGGCCUGCUUCCUAGAUUGGAAAUGGCCAUCUUCUCUCAGUAUCCUCACAUGGUAGGGAGAAAAGCAGCUCUAGUGUCUCUUCUUAUAAAGGAAGUAAUGCCACCAUAGGGGCUCUAUUCUCAUGACCUNNNNNNNNNNNNNNNNNNNNNNNNNACCAUUAGCUCUUUUUAUAGGCUCGAGAACAACAGGAUGCUUUGGUCCUGUAUCAGCAGGAUGCUUUUCGGGUAGAUCCUACCUGCCACCCUAGCUAUGGGCACAUGUCAGAGUCCCAUGUAAUAAAGGAGACAAAAGGAAACCACCACGAGUAUAAACUAAGAAAAGUACUCCAAGGUUUCUAAGAAUGGAGCUGUAUAACUCACUUUGCCCCAUUUGUUACUUCUCCACGGUACUUACCACCACCUAUUACAUAUAUUUUGUUUAUAGUCAGUCUUCCCUCAUUAGAAUGAAAGUUCCGUGAGGAUAGGACUAUACAGUCAGCCCUUAGUAUCCAUGGGGUACUAGUUUCAGGAUCUCCUGAGGAUAACAAAGGAUACUCAAGUCCCUGAUAUAAAAUGACAUAGUAUUUGCACAUCACCUUUGCACAUCCUCCCAUAUACUUCAUAUCAACUCUAGAUCACUCAUAAUAUCCGAUGUAAAUGUCAUGCAAAUAGUUAUUGUACUAUAUUGUGUAAGGAAUAAGGAGAAGAAAAAAGUCUGUACAUGUUCAGUACAGACGCAAUUUUUUUUUCCAAUAUUUCCAAUCCUCGGUUGGCUUAAUAAACAGAUGUAGAACGCAGGAAUAAGUUCUGGUGUCCUAUUGCAUAGUAGGAUGAGUAUAGUUAACAAUAACGUAUCAUAUAUUUGAAAAUAGCCAGAAGAGUAGAUUUUGAAUUUUCUCCCUACAGAAAAAUCAUUAUGCAAAUUACCCUGAUUUGAUCAUUACACAUUGAGUACAUGUAUUAAAACAUCACAUUGUACCCCAUAUAUAUGUACAAUUAUUAUGUGUCAAUAAAAAUUUAAUGUCAAUAUGUGAAAUAAAAUGAAAAAAUAAUUUUUAAAGCUGUAAUUAUCUCCAUCUGGUAGGAAUAUAUAUAAUCUGAAAUAAAAAAUAUAUUUGUAAUUGUUAGGACAAAAUAGAUUAUAGAUUAUUUUAAGUUUGCAAAUUAUAAAUUAUAAAAUGCUCACAGAACCUGAAAAAUUAUCGGUAUUGUUAAAUAUUUAAAAAGCUGUCCUUGGAGAGAAAGAAACCUAUCAGAUUUACAUCAACAAGUGUAAUAUAUCAGCCUAUUACCAUCUGCUACAGACUGCAUGUUUGUGUUCCCUCAAAAUUCAUAUGACAGGCCGGGCGCAGUGGCUCAUGCCUGUAAUCCCAGCACUUUGGGAGGCCGAGGCGGGUGGAUCACGAGGUCAGGAGAUCGAGAUCAUCCUGGCUAACAUGGUAAAACCCCGUCUCUACUAAAAAUACAAAAAAUUAGCCGGGCGCAGUGGCGGGCGCCUUAGUCCCAGCUACUGAGGAGGCUGACGCAGGAGAAUGGCGUGAACCCAGGAG
This is a long non-coding RNA of Pan troglodytes (chimpanzee), 5023 nucleotides long. The record is from Ensembl. Lineage: Eukaryota; Metazoa; Chordata; Mammalia; Primates; Hominidae.